This 425-nucleotide long non-coding RNA is filed under the name Pogona vitticeps (central bearded dragon). RNAcentral describes it as "lncRNA (ENSPVIG00000004157.1)". Lineage: Eukaryota; Metazoa; Chordata; Lepidosauria; Squamata; Agamidae. The record is from RNAcentral.
AUGCCGCCGCUCCCCCCAUCUCCGAUCCACACGUUCGGCCACUCCCGUGAAACUGCCAAAGCUUUUUUUUUGCCUCCCGCAGGCCAAUACAGUAUAGUAUUUGGAAAAGAAAAGGGAAAUGUAUUAAACCUUCUCCCCUUCCUGAUUGGGCGGGGAAGCUUUUGGAACGUUGCGGAGAGAGCCAACGGGAGGCGUCCUGACCAAUCACGGGCAAGGCGCUUCCGAAUGUUUAGCGCGACUCACGUGCGAUUUCCCUUUGAUGAUUGUUCUGGUGUAGCCCCAGCGGAAGCCCCAGCUGGUCAUCAAGGGGCUAGAUCGCAAGCCGUCCUGCCUACACACCACUCACUGAGCAGAACCUCCUGCUGUCCCUUCAAAGGAACCCGAGCCUCCCACCACUCGACUCUCCUUGAUUAGGAACAAAAAGA